AUUAUCAUUAUCAUUAUUAUUUUUGUUGUUGUAUGCGACCGCAUUUCGCGGUGUAGGUAGCGCCAAAAUCGCGACACGAUCCCGACCUACCUACCUACAGUCUGCAGCUAUACGACGAUUCGACCGAGCAGGUGUGAUGUGUAUUAUAAUAAUAUUAUAGUAGUAUAAUACACGUACGAACGAUGAUGAUCGUCGUAACGACCACGUGUUUCCAAGUGGAACAACGCCGUGCACUAUAUAUGCGGAAAAUAGAGAUGAGGUACAGAGAGAAGACGCGGUAGCAUUUAAUUAGUGCGCAUAUAACAUUAUACCACGACGGCCGAAAGUUGAUUAUAAUAUUAUUACGUUAACAGUUCAACGCGCGCAUCUGUACCUACAGUUGCACACGACGCAACUACUAUAAAAUUAUAUGAGUCACGCACUCACGCGUCCGUAGGCUUAAUCGUGUUUCGUUCCGACGAUAUGACACCGGCCAGUACCCACCUAUUCGUUGUACCAACUCGUUGUAAAUUAUAAGUUAUCUCAUGAUAUUAAACAUUUUUAUCAAGUGCAUUAUAUUAUUAUAAUUAUUAUUGAUUUGAAAUGUAAAUAUUUCAGUCGACGGUCGAUGUCUGCACGUUACGGCGACGACAGUGAUGUGGUUUUAGGAAACGACGUUCGCGGUUUCUAAAUCAAAGAUUGUAUGGAUUUUUGUGAAAAAAAAAACUUUCAAUCUCAUUUAAAAGAAAUUCAAAUCGUCAUUAUACCUAUUCACGGUGAAAGCGUAGAUCCGAUGUAAUGAACAAUAACGAUAAAAACCAUUAAGCAAUAACCGAAAAAACGUUAUAUUUUAAUUGUAUUAAUUAUUGAAAAGCAACAGUCACGGUUUGAUUUACCAUGCAUAUCAGCAAAACGUUUAAGAAUGUUUUUUAAACCUUUAAAUAUUUACAAAAACAAAUUAAAAUAAAUAGUGAUACCCAAAAGCGCAAAUUAACCUUUUUUCUAUAACCUAAAAGCAUAAAAUGAAUUCGUGCUGUAUUGAACCUUGGUAGUGGGAUAAAAGCACAAAAAAAUGUAUUACCUGCAAAAACAAUAUUUACCCAUUUCACGACAGAUUGCAACUAAAGUUAUUGCAUUUGUCCGUGUUUUAUCGGAACAACUUACGAUGACAAUCGCAGCAAAUCUAAUGUCAUAUCCAAUAUACAAACACGUAACUUAAUAUACAGAAAAAACAAUAUCUAGUUUGAAAUACUUGAAAACUGUGAGCUUCUAAAUGAUUUACAGUUAAAUUUCUGAUACUUGUAAAUUUAAAAUAAU
Long non-coding RNA from Aphis gossypii (cotton aphid), 1296 nucleotides. RefSeq lists it as uncharacterized. The record is from RefSeq and is a predicted model, not a curated record. The transcript is spliced from 3 exons. Lineage: Eukaryota; Metazoa; Arthropoda; Insecta; Hemiptera; Aphididae.